RNAcentral lists this ribosomal RNA (1656 nucleotides) under Myxobolus portucalensis. RNAcentral describes it as "SSU rRNA". It matches the Rfam family "Eukaryotic small subunit ribosomal RNA", at positions 111 to 1460 of the family's 1831-position model. The record is from RNAcentral. Lineage: Eukaryota; Metazoa; Cnidaria; Myxozoa; Bivalvulida; Myxobolidae.
CAUGAUCUAUCUGAUUGUAUAGCCCAUUGGAUAACCGUGGGAAAUCUAGAGCUAAUACAUGCGUUUAAUCGUACAGGUAGCUUGCGCUGCCUGUUGAAGCAUUUAUUAGAGCAACCAGCCACUGUGUGCAUGGGUAACUAAACAUACAGUGUGGGUGAAUCUAGAUAACUUGUCUGAUCGUAGUGGCCAUGAAGCCGGCGACAUUUCAGUUGAAAUCUCUGCCCUAUCAACUUGUUGGUAAGGUAGUGGCUUACCAAGGUUACAACGGGUAACGGGGAAUCAGGGUUCGAUUCCGGAGAGGGAGCCUGAGAAACGGCUACCACAUCCAAGGAAGGCAGCAGGCGCGCAAAUUACCCAAUCCAGACACUGGGAGGUAGUAACGAGAAUUACUGAGUAGUGGUCCGAAUGGGCUACUAGUUUGGAAUGAACGUGAUUUAGUACAUCCGAUGAGUAACAACUGGAGGGCAAGUCUGGUGCCAGCAGCCGCGGUAAUUCCAGCUCCAGUGGCGUACUUUAAAGUUGCUGCGUUUAAAACGCUCGUAGUUGGAUCACGCGAUGUCAGUCAGUGGAAUGGCGCAAUGUGCAAUAAACCCUCACCGGUUGAUGUGUCUACGUUCUACCGUGGACACAUUCAAUUGACGUGAGGAGUACAUUGUGUCUAUUGUAAGCUGAUUGACAUUACUUGCACGUGGGAAUGGUCAUUGACCUUAGUUGAGUUGACGAUUGUGUCUCACGGGGUGUGCCUUGAAUAAAUCAGAGUGCUUAAAGCAGGCUCUUGCCUGAAUGUUGAUAGCAUGGAACGAACAGUUGUGUUAACGUGCAAUGGUUGUAUUGGUAUCGCGAAGCUUUGAGCCUAGCGUGCUGGUCCCAUGCACAGCACCAACCACCAAUAUCGGAUGUUGGUUCCGUAUUGGGGUGAUGAUUAAGAGGAGCGGUUGGGGGCAUUGGUAUUUCGGACGCGAGGAGGUGAAAUUCUUGGACCGUUCCCAAGGACUAACAAAUGCGGAAGGCAUUUGCCCAAGACNGUAUCCAUUAAUCAAGAACGAAAGUGGAAGGUUCCAAGUCGAUUAGAUACCGCCGUAGUUUCCACUGUAAACUAUGCCAACUCGGGAUCAGUUUGGUGUUAUACCAACGCUCUAAGUUGGUCCCCCUGGGAAACCUUAAGUUUUUGGGUUACGGGGGGAGUAUGGUCGCAAGUCUGAAACUUAAAGGAAUUGACGGAAGGGCACCACCAGGGGUGGAGCCUGCGGCUUAAUUUGACUCAACACGGGGAAACUCACUUGGGCAAGAUGUCAAAAGGAUGGCCAGACUGAAGUUCUUGCCAGAUAUGACAAAAGGUGGUGCAUGGCCGUUCUUAGUUCGUGAAGUGAUUUGUCGGGUCGAUUCCGAUAACGGACGAGACUGCAUUCUCCAUUUGGUGAGCAAAAGAUAUUGCCACGUGUCACCGGUAACGGUGUAUGGGGUAAAAAUAGGCAGAUUGGGCGCGCAAUUGCUAGAGAUUUGGUUUGCANACUUGUUUUUGAGCUGAAUUGAAGGUGAUUGUGCUUAGCUUGUUCUCCCUUUUGUGAAGUAGUGUGUAAUCUCGUUAUUGCACAGUACACCAUGGAGAGACUGUUGGGUAUAUCCAAAGCCAAACGAAGCUGCGGCAAUAACAGG